GACGAACGCUGGCGGCGUGCUUAACACAUGCAAGUCGAACGGAAAGGCCCUGCUUUUGUGGGGUGCUCGAGUGGCGAACGUGUGAGUAACACGUGAGUAACCUGCCCUUGACUUUGGGAUAACUUCAGGAAACUGGGGCUAAUACCGGAUAGGAGCUCCUGCUGCAUGGUGGGGGUUGGAAAGUUUCGGCGGUUGGGGAUGGACUCGCGGCUUAUCAGCUUGUUGGUGGGGUAGUGGCUUACCAAGGCUUUGACGGGUAGCCGGCCUGAGAGGGUGACCGGCCACAUUGGGACUGAGAUACGGCCCAGACUCCUACGGGAGGCAGCAGUGGGGAACAUUGCACAAUGGGCGGAAGCCUGAUGCAGCAACGCCGCGUGCGGGAUGACGGCCUUCGGGUUGUAAACCGCUUUCGCCUGUGACGAAGCGUGAGUGACGGUAAUGGGUAAAGAAGCACCGGCUAACUACGUG
This 468-nucleotide ribosomal RNA is filed under the name uncultured bacterium. RNAcentral describes it as "partial 16S ribosomal RNA". It matches the Rfam family "Bacterial small subunit ribosomal RNA", at positions 28 to 507 of the family's 1533-position model. The record is from RNAcentral.